RNAcentral lists this ribosomal RNA (87 nucleotides) under Gopherus agassizii (Agassiz's desert tortoise). The record is from RNAcentral. Lineage: Eukaryota; Metazoa; Chordata; Testudines; Testudinidae.
UGCUGCAAUACCAAGUCAUUGUUAAAGAGAGCCAAAUCUGGUCAGUACUUGGCUGGGAUUCCUGAGAAAAUCCAGGUAUUGCAGGAA